AACUAGCUGAUGAGUUCCAAACAGGACAAAACGCUCAUCCUAGUU
RNAcentral lists this non-coding RNA (45 nucleotides) under Schistosoma margrebowiei. Lineage: Eukaryota; Metazoa; Platyhelminthes; Trematoda; Strigeidida; Schistosomatidae. The record is from RNAcentral.